RNAcentral lists this ribosomal RNA (796 nucleotides) under Rhizobium sp. Its description in RNAcentral is "bacterial SSU rRNA". It matches the Rfam family "Bacterial small subunit ribosomal RNA", at positions 45 to 817 of the family's 1533-position model. Lineage: Bacteria; Pseudomonadati; Pseudomonadota; Alphaproteobacteria; Hyphomicrobiales; Rhizobiaceae. The record is from RNAcentral.
GGCUUAACAAAUGCAAGUCGAGCGCCCCUCCUUCUAGCAAGCUUGAAGGAUUUACUCCUUGGAAAAGAAGAUCAAGAGCGCUUCUAAGAAGCUUUCUUGAUGGAUGGGACCGGCACACGGGUGAGUAACGCGUGGGAAUCUACCCUUUUCUACGGAAUAACGCAGGGAAACUUGUGCUAAUACCGUAUGUGUCCUUCGGGAGAAAGAUUUAUCGGGAAAGGAUGAGCCCGCGUUGGAUUACCUAGUUGGUGGGGUCAAGGCCUACCAAGGCGACGAUCCAUAGCUGGUCUGAGAGGAUGAUCAGCCACAUUGGGACUGAGACACGGCCCAAACUCCUACGGGAGGCAGCAGUGGGGAAUAUUGGACAAUGGGCGCAAGCCUGAUCCAGCCAUGCCGCGUGAGUGAUGAAGGCCCUAGGGUUGUAAAGCUCUUUCACCGGAGAAGAUAAUGACGGUAUCCGGAGAAUAAGCCCCGGCUAACUUCCUGCCAUCAGCCGCGGUAAUACGAAGGGGGCUAGCGUUGUUCGGAAUUACUGGGCGUAUAGCGCACGUAGGCGGAUCCAUCCGUCAGGGGUGAAAUCCCAGGGCUCAACCCUGGAACUGACCUUGAUACUGUCCAUCCGGAGUAUGGAGUAUGUGAGUGUAAUUCCGAGUGUAAAGGUGAAAUUGCCCGAUAUUCUGAGGAACACCACUGGCGAAGGCGACUCCCUGGUCUCUAACUGAGGUUGACGCGCGACAAUGUGGGGAGUAAACAUCAUUAUAGAACCUGUGAGUCCCCUCCGCACACGAUGAAUGUU